GAUAAACGCUGGCGGCGCACAUAAGACAUGCAAGUCGAACGGACUUAACUCAUUCUUAUAGAUUGAGAGCGGUUAGUGGCGGACUGGUGAGUAACACGUAAGCAACCUGCCUAUCAGAGGGGAAUAACAGUGAGAAAUCAUUGCUAAUACCGCAUAAGCUAGUAAUAUCGCAUGAUAUAACUAGAAAAGGAGCAAUCCGCUGAUAGAUGGGCUUGCGUCUGAUUAGCUAGUUGGUGGGGUAACGGCCUACCAAGGCGACGAUCAGUAGCCGGACUGAGAGGUUGAACGGCCACAUUGGGACUGAGAUACGGCCCAG
This 316-nucleotide ribosomal RNA is filed under the name uncultured bacterium. RNAcentral's name for it is "bacterial SSU rRNA". It matches the Rfam family "Bacterial small subunit ribosomal RNA", at positions 28 to 334 of the family's 1533-position model. The record is from RNAcentral.